CAGGCAGGAAGUAUAGGUGGGAAAGCAGAGAGGAGAAUUCUGUGAAGAGGAAUGGGAGAGAGAAGUCGCGAGCCAGACACAGAGGAAGCAAGAUGUAAAGUUGCGUUUUUAUCAUGGAGAUUACCAACGGCAAAGGAUGUUGAUAUGAUUUUCAAUCACAUUUUACCGCCUGGAUAUUAUUGAAGAUUUUUACACUCUCUUUUGAAACUUGAAUCACAUCACUAAUGAAAAGAUUAGUUUGUGACUGAUGAAUACAUUUCAAUGAUUCAUGAAUCCUGUAUAUAUGGCAUGAAAGUGGAACACUGUCUAUGGAUACAAAGAAGACAGGUUAGUUGAGAAAGCAGCAAACAGAAGAAGGCACCACAUUGGGGUAUCUGCUUGAUUACUGACUCCCUGAUUUCAGAAUUUUUUCCACUAUCAUCAUCUCAGUGG
Peromyscus eremicus (cactus mouse) is the source of this 432-nucleotide long non-coding RNA. RefSeq lists it as uncharacterized. The transcript is spliced from 4 exons. NCBI's taxonomy places the organism in Eukaryota, Metazoa, Chordata, Mammalia, Rodentia, Cricetidae. The record is from RefSeq and is a predicted model, not a curated record.